Molecule: long non-coding RNA, 962 nt
Organism: Hydra vulgaris (swiftwater hydra)
Lineage: Eukaryota; Metazoa; Cnidaria; Hydrozoa; Anthoathecata; Hydridae
Source: RefSeq, a predicted model, not a curated record
AUUAGGUUUGAAGCAAAGGCAGUUGUUCUAUCUUGUUUAAAAGAAGAUGGAUGGUUAUUUUGGCCGACUUGUGUUCAUGCAAUGAAAGCUGCCUAUAAUUGAUGAUUUCUGCAACAAGCUCAGACUUAAAAGAGUUAAAGUAACUGAUUGUCAUAAAAUUUUACAAUGCUCAUUGCUAAUUUAGUUGUUUUAUAUGAAUAAAAAAACUAUUAUAGUUUUAUAUUAACGGUGAAGUAUUAUAUCAAAUAAACUAUUUUAUUUUUAUUUCAUAAUAAGUAAUAUUUUGAAUCUGUUCAUGGUAUUAUUACUGCCUAGAUAUAUAUUGUAAUCUGUUUACACUUAUUCUACAUUUUUGUUUUUGCAUAAUUUUGUUUAUAUUUAUUUUACUAAAUAAUUAGGAUUUAAUUUAACGACUGCAGAGGACUCGAAAGAAGAAUUAAAGUUCUGGUGGAUCAAAGAUCGAGGAAUGAUUUGCUUUUAACUGGUUUGCAUCUUAUGAACGAAGUACAUUAUAUGAUUUGAAUUGAUGAUUUAUAGUUACACUUAUUGAAGUUCUGUAUCUUAAUGACUCAAUGAUAUCCUGGCUUAUUGAUAUGAUAUCCUGUAAAUCCACUCACACACAUAAAUUUUACUCACACACGUAAAUCCUGUAAAUUCACUCACUCACAUAAAUCUUAAAAAAGAUGUUUACAUUUUUUAUCUAUAAAUUGUAAGUUUUAUAUAAAUAAAUUGUAUUUUUUUAAUGUUUUAUAUUGUAUAUUACUAUUUGCAUUCAAAAUCGACUUUCGAAAUAUUGCAAGUGCAGAGUUAAACAUACAAUUUUGUUUUAUUUGCAAAUUAAAUAUACAUUAUAGCCAAAUUUAAUCACGUUUAAUAAUAUUUUGCGAUAUUUUCUCCAGCGCAUUUGAGCGUUGAUUUAACGUUAUAUUUUAAUCUUUACUCGACGUUUUUGAGUCACGUUA